UAGGGAUCGAAGGUUGGCACCUGCAAACACAGUGAGGCUGGGGGCACCCUGUGCUCUAAGAAUGGCUGUGUUCUUCUGGGUGACCAGCCAUCCCAAGUUGCUGUAACAGUCAUGGGCAAACCAGAGCAGGUGGUUGUUCUGUUAUUUACAACCAUCUACCAACAGAAAUUUAACCAAAUCAGAAUGCCCAUCGGUUCCAUUAUACCCAGUACUAUACUUGUAUUUGUGAAUAUCAGUGCCUCAGCCCCACGCAAGUCAAAUGGAGACCUUAUUGCCUGUAUCCAACUCAGUAAAGUAGCAAAUAUAGAAAAAGUGCUGAGAGUCCUUGAAAUCCCACUCCCACACAGACCCUGUUUGUAUACAGUCGGUUAUCUCCAUGAAAGUGGGAGGCACUAACCCCACAGUCUUGGCUGGAGAACAGAUUAAGGAAUAAUGAAUAAUAGGGUCACUUGCACUCCUUGAUGUCUUCAGGCCACUUAUUACCUGGUUUUCAACCUUCACACGUCCUCCUCAGGGAAGUCAUAGUCCUCUGGAUGACCACUGCCAAUUGUGUUUAUUGUUGCUUAAUUAUUUUACCUGCUUUUAUUUAUUUAUUUUUUGACAGAGUCUUGCUGUGUCACCCAGGCUGGAAUGCCGUGGCACAAUCUCGGCUCAACCUCCACCUCCUGGGUUCAAGUGAUUCUUCUGUCUCAGCCUCCUGAGUAGCUGGGACUACAGGAAGAGUGCACAGGAGCCUGGCACUCCUGGACCUGAGGAAACCCUGAAACUGUUGGUAUUUGCAGAUCCUCUCCAAAAAGAGUUCACCGAUCUCCUAAGACUGCAAACCUGACCCCAGCAUGCUGGGAGCCAAGAGGGUCUGCGGAUCUCCCUGCUUAGCAAAUUGUGUGUAUAUAUAUACACACACACACAAUGAAAUACUAUUCAGCCUGAAAAGAAGAAAAUCCUGCCACUUAUGGCAACAGGGAUGAAUUUGAAGGACAUUAUGUUAAGUAAAAUAAACCAGACACAGAAAGACAAAUACUGCAUAAUCUCACUUGUAUGUGGAAUCUAGAAAAGUCAGACUCAUAAAAACAGAGUGUAGAGUGCUGGUUACCAUUCUAUACCAUAUAUAUAUCCUAUUGGUUCUGACUCUCCGGAGAACCCUAAAACAUAUGGCAACUUGAAAAUAUAAACUGAUUCACAAAUUAUUUAAACAAACUAGUGAAUGGUAUACAUUGAAUCGGCAGGGGGCUAAUAAGGUUAGAAUAAUAAUUACC
This 1256-nucleotide long non-coding RNA is filed under the name Homo sapiens (human). RNAcentral's name for it is "HSALNT0207541". Lineage: Eukaryota; Metazoa; Chordata; Mammalia; Primates; Hominidae. The record is from RNAcentral.